CAGUGGGGGAAUAUUGCACAAUGGGCGCAAGCCUGAUGCAGCCAUGCCGCGUGUAUGAAGAAGGCCUUCGGGUUGUAAAGUACUUUCAGCAGUGAGGAAGGUGGAUAUGUUAAUAGCAUAUUCAUUUGACGUUAGCUGCAGAAGAAGCACCGGCUAACUCCGUGCCAGCAGCCGCGGUAAGUACGGAGGGUGCGAGCGUUAAUCGGAAUUACUAGGGCGUAAAGCGCAUGCAGGUGGUUUGUUAAGUCAGAUGUGAAAGCCCGGGGCUCAACCUCGGAAUUGCAUUUGAAACUGGCAAACUAGAGUACUGUAGGAGGGGGUAGAAUUUCAGGUGUAGCGGUGAAAUGCGUAGAGAUCUGAAGGAAUACCGGUGGCGAAGGCGGCCCCCUGGACAGAUACUGACACUCAGAUGACGAAAGCGGUGGGGAGCAAACAGGAUUAGAUACCCUGGUAG
RNAcentral lists this ribosomal RNA (454 nucleotides) under uncultured bacterium. Its description in RNAcentral is "bacterial SSU rRNA". It matches the Rfam family "Bacterial small subunit ribosomal RNA", at positions 352 to 793 of the family's 1533-position model. The record is from RNAcentral.